AGGGGAGAAGAGGCCUGCCAUACCCACUGGAGCUACUGACCAACGUGGGAGAAGGUCCUGGAGCACACCAAGAAGAAAAUGACCUGAUGUACUAGCCUGUAUAGAACUCAGAGACUGUUCUCAUUAGAAACAUUAUGAUUUUUUCCUCUUUGUAUUACUGACUGGAAAAAUUGGCCCUUAUUUUGAUUCACAUAUAUGUUUUUCUCACUUAGUCCUCAUACAUAGGGAAGGGUUUGAGAAAGUGGAUAAGAAAUUUGGACUGGUAGUUUUCUAAGGAAUUGAAGUCAAGAAGAUAAAGAUCUUUAGCUAUUUAUUUAUCCUAACCAAAAUCAUGUCUCUAGAAAGUGUCUGAAGAAAUAUAUGGUUUACUUCCAAUCUAACUAGGAAGGCAUUUGUGAGGCAGAGUGUAGCAGAAUGAUACCUGAAUAGCAGCGAAGUUGGAGCUAUCCGAUUUUAUUUUGGACUGGGUCUCAUUUAUUUCGCCCCCCCCCCCCGACUUAAAACUCUGAAGCAUCAUAAGCCGUCUUUCCUCAGCCUUCUGCAUAGCUCGAUAUUACAUGUUGCUGAGCCUGGCUCAGAUUUAUUUUACAUUUUAAAAAUUUCAGACAGCUACCAUAUUUAUAAGAAAAUGUUUUAGUUAAUAUAGUUUAAAAACUUUAUAAACUUUAAUAAUCUUUGUUUUAUGCAUAUUUACAUUUAUAAAAAUAUAGACUCAGAAAAAAAUGGUGUUUUUAUCUGUCAUUGAAUUGUCAAGUUAUGUCUUGGUUUUAUACUGCUCUAUAUCGCAUGUAAUUUAAGUAAAACACAGGUAAAAUAGACAUUAAGUAUUUUAGAUUAUUGUGUUGUGCCUAUGUUAUACAUGAGUACAGAAGAAUGAAUAAGACUUAUUUUUAGUAGUUCUCAUGAUUUUACAGUUAGCUAGACAAAUUUAUUUUUAAACAAGUGUCCUUUGUUGCCCAGGAGCAAACUGCCUUAUCAUCCUAGCCAGGAUCAGACAUGUAUGACUGCACUGUGCUUGGCAUGGGGCUUUUAAAAUUAAAUUAGUUCUUUUAAAGUGGAUAGCUUAUUACUUGAAUAUGUAAUAUAAACAUUAUUUUUAUUAUUUCCUUAGCUUACUAAAAAAUACAUUUUUGAUUUAUUUUGAAAAUGAGUUCAUGUCUUGAAAUUUUAUAAGUGAUUAAGCAUUGGCAUUUAAUUUGCAUUAAGCCCCUGUUAUACUUAAGAAAGAUGUUUGAUACAAUAAACUUUAUUAACUAGGAGCAUAUGGAUUUGAUUUUUUUCUGGCUUAGCACAGAUAAUGAUAGAUCCAGUUGAUUUUUGUAGCUUUUGUAUAUUUUGAGUUACUCUUAAAAGUUCUGUUUCCAUCGGUAGAGUUUUAAAAAGUACCCUCUGCCCACAUGAACGUUUAUUUUUUAUGUUUAGGAUAAAUUUACUUACCAUUCAGCUCCAGUUGAAAAAUCCCACGGCAGACUGCAAUGCAGAACAUCAAGAUCACAGAAGAAAAAGUCCAAGUCACCCGAGAGGAGUAAAUAUUGCAUAAACACCAAGAACUACGAACAGCCUACGAUUUCCUCAAAGUCACACUCUCCAUCUCCCUACACAAAAAGACGGAUGUGUGAGCUUUCCGAAGACACUCGGCGGCGGCUGGCCCAUUUAAAUCUGGGACCCUAUGAAUUCAAAAAGGAAACAGAUAAGCCUCCAUUUGUGAUUAGACAUGUAUGUGCUCAUAAGCAUUUCCAUUUGAAACUUAUCAAAUCUACUCUGCCACUAAAAUAUUAUGCUGAAAUGGAUUUCAAUAAGUAGCUCAUAUAAAUAAUUUUCUUUCUUGAACUCUUAGCUAGAAGCUAGAGGUAGAAAACUAGCAUAAACCCAAUGAAUAUGCUUUUUUCCCCCCCUUUAUGCCUUUAAUGCUGAGGGACCGAGCUCCGUUAUGAAUGCCAUAUCAGCUCUUCUGAGUACCCAUCUACUCUCACCUUACACAGUGGGCAGUGUUAUAACUCGACAGUUGAACUUGGUUGUUAAAAUGCUAAAGUAGGGUUUUAAAGGAGAAAACAAAGUUUCCUAUAAUAAUUUCUUAUCAGAUACAUGAUUGUUGGCAUGCUUUUUGGGCUACUUUAUUGGGUUCUAUUAUCUACAACCCUUCCAACCAUUAUUCCUCACCAAUUGCCUCCAAACUGCCAACACUAGGUAGGAGAGAGAAGGAGUGGGAAAGGGGCCAUAUACCUUUUAAUUACUUCCUGUUGAUUUGGGGUAUUGGGUUCUUCAGGGCAAGUCCAAUCUCCAUCAUCAGGAUAUCUCCAGCAAAACAGCAACCUAGCAAUCCAGCAACAGCAAAAGCAGCAGCAGGAAGCAGCAGCAGCAGGAGGAACAGCAGCCACACCAGGCCCUCUUAGGGCUAUUGCAUUUACACCCUCCCUAGAGUUACCAAAAUUCCAGACAUAAACUAUUUGCAGCUGGAUAAAAUUACAACCCUUGUAGAGGAAAAGAUCAUAAUUAGCAGCUAUCGGCUGUGAACACUCUGAAGCAGCCCCGUAUCCAACACCUAGGAUUAAAACAAAAACAUAUUCACAUAACAUAACUGGGUUUUUAAAGAAAUCAAAGUUCUUACUAAACAUGGUCUAUAUUUUCACUUUCCGAAGUUAACUUUUUACUUGUUUUAUUGUUCUUUGAUUCACAAAAGGUUUUAGUUUUGGUCAGUAGCCCAUCUUUUGAUGUGUUUACCUCACUGUGACAUAUUUAUUGUUAGAAAAUGUAGUUGACCUUAUUUGUCAACUACAAGAUGAUCAGCAAAGAAAGGCACUGUUUCAGUUCAGCGUGUUUGCUAAGACCAGGUAGAAAAUUGGUAGACUCUUUGUAAGGAAGGCAGAGGAGGUCACUAUAGGAUGUUUUUAUUUUUGUCUAAUGU
Molecule: long non-coding RNA, 2905 nt
Filed under: Mus musculus (house mouse)
Lineage: Eukaryota; Metazoa; Chordata; Mammalia; Rodentia; Muridae
Description: long non-coding RNA chr4:111777577-111780482
Source: RNAcentral